CCCUUAGAUGUUCUGGGCCGCACGCGCGCUACACUGACGAAGUCAGCGAGCAUGUCCUACGCCGACAGGUGCGGGGAAUCUUGUCAAACUUCGUCGUGAUGGGGAUAGAAUAUUGUAAUUAUUACUCUUCAACGAGGAAUUCCUAGUAAGCGCCAGUCAGCAGCUUGCGCUGAUUACGUCCCUGCCCUUUGUACACACCGCCCGUCGCUCCUACCGAUGGGUGAUCCGGUGAAUGAUUCGGACUUCAGCGGCUCCCCUGGGGUGCGCCGGAGAAAGUUUUGUGAACCUUAUCACUUGGAGGAAGGAGAAGUCGUAACA
Molecule: ribosomal RNA, 318 nt
Filed under: uncultured eukaryote
Lineage: Eukaryota
Description: partial 18S ribosomal RNA
Rfam family: Eukaryotic small subunit ribosomal RNA
Source: RNAcentral